AUGAACGCUGGCGGCGUGUCUAAGGCAUGCAAGUCGAGUGGUGCCCGCAAGGGUAACCACGGCAGACGGGAGCGUAACACGUGAGUAACUCACCCCAAAGUGUGGUAUAACUCCGGGAAACCGGUGAUAAUUCCACAUGUGAUCCUUUGCCGAUGGGCAAAGGCGGAAAGGCCGAAAGGUCGCUUUGGGAGAGGCUCGCGGACUAUCAGCUUGUUGGUGAGGUAAUGGCUCACCAAGGCGAUGACGGUUAGCGGGUGUGAGAGCAUGACCCGCCUCACUGGAACUGAAACACUGUCCAGACUCCUACGGGAGGCUGCAGUCGAGAAUUUUCCUCAAUGGACGAAAGUCUGAAGGAGCGACGCCGCGUGCAGGAAGACGCCCCUUGGGGUGUAAACUGCUUUUCUCUGGGAAAAACUUUGAUGGUACCAGAGGAAUAAGGGACUGCUAACUUCGU
This 454-nucleotide ribosomal RNA is filed under the name uncultured bacterium. RNAcentral describes it as "bacterial SSU rRNA". It matches the Rfam family "Bacterial small subunit ribosomal RNA", at positions 29 to 506 of the family's 1533-position model. The record is from RNAcentral.